UUGGAUUCAGAGGUGGGGUUGUGGGUCGGGUGUGGCCCGGCAGCUUGUCUCCGUGUGCCGCUCCCAAUCAACCCGCGUUUGCCCCAGCCUCCUAUCGCACGGAAACGGAGUCCUGCUGGGGUCUCCUUAACUGGGGGUUCCAGCGCUUCCGCGCACAACGUGCGCUUACGGACCGUCCGUGGACGUUACUGUGAACAAAACAGCGUGUUCAAAGCAAGUGGCUUGCCUGCCCUGCAUGUUAAAGCAUGGAAUAACAAGGCAUCGACCACUCGGCGGUGCUUUUGUUGGUCUUUCCCUCCCGGUGGGAAUGCGCAGGCGUGCACACUGCCGGCCUUCUGGCCGGUCUGGGUGCCGUCUCUUCGAGAUCAAUAGGGGCAAACGGGGAGAUACCUAUUGUGGGGAGAGCGGUGAAAUGCGAUGACCCCCAUAAGAGGAACUUCAGCGAAAGCAGUUCUCAAGACUGCCUUCGUUAAUCAAGAACGAGACUGUGGGGAUCAAAGAUGAUCAGAUACCGUCGUAGUCCACUAGCGUAAACGAUGCCGACUCAUCAUUGGGGGGCAUCUCUAACAAGCG
Molecule: ribosomal RNA, 573 nt
Filed under: uncultured marine eukaryote
Lineage: Eukaryota
Description: bacterial SSU rRNA
Rfam family: Eukaryotic small subunit ribosomal RNA
Source: RNAcentral